CAACCCUUGACAUCCUCGGACCGCCGGAGAGAUCCGGUUUUCCUUCGGGACCGAGUGACAGGUGCUGCAUGGCUGUCGUCAGCUCGUGUCGUGAGAUGUUCGGUUAAGUCCGGCAACGAGCGCAACCCACACUCUCAGUUGCCAGCAGUUCGGCUGGGCACUCUGGGGGAACUGCCCGUGAUAAGCGGGAGGAAGGUGUGGAUGACGUCAAGUCCUCAUGGCCCUUACGGGUUGGGCUACACACGUGCUACAAUGGUGGUGACAGUGGGUUAAUCCCCAAAAGCCAUCUCAGUUCGGAUUGUCCUCUGCAACUCGAGGGCAUGAAGUCGGAAUCGCUAGUAAUCGCGUAACAGCAUGACGCGGUGAAUACGUUCCC
RNAcentral lists this ribosomal RNA (376 nucleotides) under uncultured bacterium. RNAcentral's name for it is "bacterial SSU rRNA". It matches the Rfam family "Bacterial small subunit ribosomal RNA", at positions 975 to 1375 of the family's 1533-position model. The record is from RNAcentral.